CCAAACCGUUGACAUGAGUUGUUGCUGGCCUUCAAACGGGGGCAUGUGCACGCUCUGUUUACACAUCCACCCACCCCUGUGCACCUUUUGUAGUUCUAUGGUUUGGAGGCUCUGCCUCCCUUCUGUGGUUCUAUGUCUUUACACACACAUGUCAAAAAAGUCUUGUAGAACGUAUGUCGCGUUUAACGCAAUACAAUA
This 198-nucleotide unclassified non-coding RNA is filed under the name uncultured Tomentella. RNAcentral's name for it is "sequence contains ITS1". The record is from RNAcentral. Lineage: Eukaryota; Fungi; Basidiomycota; Agaricomycetes; Thelephorales; Thelephoraceae.